Molecule: unclassified non-coding RNA, 349 nt
Filed under: soil metagenome
Description: partial contains 5.8S ribosomal RNA, internal transcribed spacer 2, and large subunit ribosomal RNA
Rfam family: 5.8S ribosomal RNA (bases 1-120)
Source: RNAcentral
GAUGAAGAACGUAGCGAAAUGCGAUACUUGGUGUGAAUUGCAGAAUCCCGUGAACCAUCGAGUCUUUGAACGCACAUUGCGCCCCCUGGUAUUCCGGGGGGCAUGCCUGUCCGAGCGUCAUUGCUGCCCUCAAGCACGGCUUGUGUGUUGGGCCUCCGCCCCCCGGCUCCCGGGGGGCGGGCCCGAAAGGCAGCGGCGGCACCGCGUCCGGUCCUCGAGCGUAUGGGGCUUCGUCACCCGCUCCGUAGGCCCGGCCGGCGCCCGCCGGCGACCCCCCUCAAUCUUUCCAGGUUGACCUCGGAUCAGGUAGGGAUACCCGCUGAACUUAAGCAUAUCAAUAAGCGGAGGA